Carassius auratus (goldfish) is the source of this 614-nucleotide long non-coding RNA. RefSeq lists it as uncharacterized. The record is from RefSeq and is a predicted model, not a curated record. Lineage: Eukaryota; Metazoa; Chordata; Actinopteri; Cypriniformes; Cyprinidae. The transcript has 4 exons.
GCAGAUGGUAACGUUAAAGAGAUUUUUCUGCUGCAAAGGAUGACAUUGAUGCAGCUUGUGAACUUGCCAUCAGAGGACUGUGUAUCUAUCUUAAUGAGGACUCUAAAGAUCUCAUUCAGGAGUAUGCGGACAUGGAAGAAGAUCUUUUACAGUGUGCGAUUGAGAAGACUACCAUGGGCAUCUUCGUGAUAAAGCACACUGCAGACAAUGAAGCCCAUGAUUACCCCACAAAGUUGCGUUUUACAUAUGAAAUUUAGCAAAAACUCAUCAUGGACUUGGAUGCGGGUGAAUUCUCGAUCAAGGCCCAAAAUUUCAAAUCUGAACUCCACCAGUGAGAUGGACUGAUUUUUGAAUGACUACUGAGACUACAAACAAUCAACCUCGGAAAAUUUCAGCAGCCUUCAUGCAAGACCACUGCAGAGGGUAAACCGUGAUCUUGUUGUUUAGACUGUUCCCCUUUGCCUGCUCUCGUUUCUUUAUCUUUUUUUUUCUGUCUGAAUUUGGCCCUUCGUUGGACUGGCUCAGAAGUUGAUUGAUUAGAGAGCUGAAUCUAUGAAACAUGGUUGAACUAGCAUAAAUAAGAUACUUUGUUUAUAGUUUAGGUAAGGGUCAGA